CGCCUCUGGAAUAGGAUCAAGAGGUUCUGCCUGCCCGGUGACUUUAAAAGGUUAAACGGCUGCAGUACUCUGACUGUGCAAAGGUAGCAUAAUCAUUAGCCUGUUAAUUGUAGGCUGGCAUCAACGGCUAGACGAUGAAAGCGCUGUCUCUUUUUACUAUGUUUCUAGAAUUUAAUAUUAAGGUGAAGAAACCUUAAUAAAUGAGUGGGACUAGAAGACCCUAUUGAGCUUUACUUCCUACCUUAAAAGUAUUAAGAAUAGGUGGUUGAGUUGGGGCAACUAAAUUUUUUAUAAAACAAAUAUUAAUAAAUAAUUAGAUUAAACUAUGGAUUGAUGACCCAAAAAUGUUUUGAUAAAAAGAAAAAGUUACCUUAGGGAUAACAGCGUAAUUUUUCUUAAGAGUACACAUUGACAGAAAAGUUUGCGACCUCGAUGUUGGAUCAAGAAUUCCUGGAUGUGCAGCCGCCUCCUUGGGUUGGUUUGUUCAACCAUAAAAAUCUUACG
RNAcentral lists this ribosomal RNA (504 nucleotides) under Amphiura chiajei. RNAcentral's name for it is "partial 16S ribosomal RNA". It matches the Rfam family "Bacterial large subunit ribosomal RNA", at positions 1825 to 2600 of the family's 2925-position model. Lineage: Eukaryota; Metazoa; Echinodermata; Ophiuroidea; Amphilepidida; Amphiuridae. The record is from RNAcentral.